Molecule: ribosomal RNA, 107 nt
Organism: Panthera pardus (leopard)
Lineage: Eukaryota; Metazoa; Chordata; Mammalia; Carnivora; Felidae
Source: Ensembl
GUCUGUGGCCAUACCACCCUGAAUGUGCUCGAUCUCAUCUGAUCUCAGAAGCUGAGCAGGGUCGAGCUUGGUUAGUACUUGGAUAGGAGAAAUCAAUUUUAUAUAAU